GACGAACGCUGGCGGCGUGCUUAACACAUGCAAGUCGAGCGAGAAAGUUUCCUUCGGGAGACGAGUACAGCGGCGGACGGGUGAGUAACACGUGAACAACCUGCCCUUGAGUCUGGGAUAACACCGGGAAAUCGGUGCUAAUACCGGAUAUGCUCUAUGGACCGCAUGGUUUAUAGAGGAAAGGUUUACUGCUCAAGGAUGGGUUCGCGUCCCAUUAGCUAGUUGGUGAGGUAACGGCCCACCAAGGCGACGAUGGGUAGCCGGCCUGAGAGGGUGGACGGCCACACUGGAACUGAGACACGGUCCAGACUCCUACGGGAGGCAGCAGUGGGGAAUUUUGCGCAAUGGGGGAAACCCUGACGCAGCGACGCCGCGUGAGCGAUGAAGGUUUUCGGAUCGUAAAGCUCUGUCACAGGGGACGAUAGUGACGGUACCCUGGGAGGAAGCCCCGGCUAACUACGUG
RNAcentral lists this ribosomal RNA (463 nucleotides) under uncultured organism. RNAcentral's name for it is "bacterial SSU rRNA". It matches the Rfam family "Bacterial small subunit ribosomal RNA", at positions 28 to 507 of the family's 1533-position model. The record is from RNAcentral.